Molecule: ribosomal RNA, 1295 nt
Filed under: Curtobacterium oceanosedimentum
Lineage: Bacteria; Bacillati; Actinomycetota; Actinomycetes; Micrococcales; Microbacteriaceae
Also listed under: 1 other name
Description: partial 16S ribosomal RNA
Rfam family: Bacterial small subunit ribosomal RNA
Source: RNAcentral
UGAGUAACCUGCCCCUGACUCUGGGAUAAGCGUUGGACACGACGUCUAAUACUGGAUAUGACUGCCGGCCGCAUGGUCUGGUGGUGGAAAGAUUUUUUGGUUGGGGAUGGACUCGCGGCCUAUCAGCUUGUUGGUGAGGUAAUGGCUCACCAAGGCGACGACGGGUAGCCGGCCUGAGAGGGUGACCGGCCACACUGGGACUGAGACACGGCCCAGACUCCUACGGGAGGCAGCAGUGGGGAAUAUUGCACAAUGGGCGAAAGCCUGAUGCAGCAACGCCGCGUGAGGGAUGACGGCCUUCGGGUUGUAAACCUCUUUUAGUAGGGAAGAAGCGAAAGUGACGGUACCUGCAGAAAAAGCACCGGCUAACUACGUGCCAGCAGCCGCGGUAAUACGUAGGGUGCAAGCGUUGUCCGGAAUUAUUGGGCGUAAAGAGCUCGUAGGCGGUUUGUCGCGUCUGCUGUGAAAUCCCGAGGCUCAACCUCGGGCUUGCAGUGGGUACGGGCAGACUAGAGUGCGGUAGGGGAGAUUGGAAUUCCUGGUGUAGCGGUGGAAUGCGCAGAUAUCAGGAGGAACACCGAUGGCGAAGGCAGAUCUCUGGGCCGUAACUGACGCUGAGGAGCGAAAGCGUGGGGAGCGAACAGGAUUAGAUACCCUGGUAGUCCACGCCGUAAACGUUGGGCGCUAGAUGUAGGGACCUUUCCACGGUUUCUGUGUCGUAGCUAACGCAUUAAGCGCCCCGCCUGGGGAGUACGGCCGCAAGGCUAAAACUCAAAGGAAUUGACGGGGGCCCGCACAAGCGGCGGAGCAUGCGGAUUAAUUCGAUGCAACGCGAAGAACCUUACCAAGGCUUGACAUACACCGGAAACGGCCAGAGAUGGUCGCCCCCUUGUGGUCGGUGUACAGGUGGUGCAUGGUUGUCGUCAGCUCGUGUCGUGAGAUGUUGGGUUAAGUCCCGCAACGAGCGCAACCCUCGUUCUAUGUUGCCAGCGCGUUAUGGCGGGGACUCAUAGGAGACUGCCGGGGUCAACUCGGAGGAAGGUGGGGAUGACGUCAAAUCAUCAUGCCCCUUAUGUCUUGGGCUUCACGCAUGCUACAAUGGCCGGUACAAAGGGCUGCGAUACCGUAAGGUGGAGCGAAUCCCAAAAAGCCGGUCUCAGUUCGGAUUGAGGUCUGCAACUCGACCUCAUGAAGUCGGAGUCGCUAGUAAUCGCAGAUCAGCAACGCUGCGGUGAAUACGUUCCCGGGCCUUGUACACACCGCCCGUCAAGUCAUGAAAGUCGGUAACACCCGAA